This 468-nucleotide ribosomal RNA is filed under the name uncultured bacterium. RNAcentral describes it as "partial 16S ribosomal RNA". It matches the Rfam family "Bacterial small subunit ribosomal RNA", at positions 28 to 507 of the family's 1533-position model. The record is from RNAcentral.
GACGAACGCUGGCGGCGGGCUUAACACAUGCAAGUCGAACGGAAAGGCCCUGCUUUUUGGUGGUUCUCGAGUGGCUAACGGGUGAGUAACUCGUGAGUAACCUGCCCUUUACUUUGGGAUAACUUCAGGAAACUGGGGCUAAUACCGGAUAGUAGCUCCGGCUGCAUGGUGGGGGGUGGAAAGUUUCGGCGGUUGGUGAUGGACUCGCGGCUUAUCAGCUUGUUGGUGGGGUAGUGGCGUACCACGGCUUUGACGGGUAGCCGGCCUGAGAGGGUGACCGGGGACAUUGGGACUGAGAUACGGACCAGACGCCUACGGGAGGCAGCAGUGGGGAAUAUUGCACAAUGGGCGGAAGCCUGAUGCAGCAACGCCGCGUGCGGGAUGACGGCCUUCGGGUUGUAAACCGCUUUAGCCUGUGACGAAGCGUGAGUGACGGUAAUGGGUAAAGAAGCACCGGCUAACUACGUG